UUUUAUUCCUCUUAUGAAAUACAAAGAAAAUAUGACAAAACUUGUAUAUUGCUACAUGUACAUGGAUUGAAUAGCAAUGAAUGAAUGCCCAGAUUCUAUCAAUAUUACAUUAAAUCUGUUAUUACUACUACAUGUUAUCUAAAUCCACCUCUUUUGCUGCAGUAACUUCAGAUGGGAAAGAAAUGGUGGCAGCAGACGACAAAAUUUCUUUAUUUCGUUUUAAAUUUUCUACUUUAAGGAUGUUUUGGCAUAUGAAAAUAUACAGAGCGAAGGUGCAGAACAAAAUUUUGCUUACACAAUGGUUAUACACGAAAACAUCGUUCAGCCAGAUCCGAAUAUGUUCACAAAAUAGAGGUGAACAAAUGGUACAAGACGUUGGCUUUUGACAAAUUGAUAUACACGUGAUCAUCGUUCUGCUAGAUCGGAAUGUUUUCACAAAAUAGAGAUGUGAAAAUGGUACUAGAUGUUAGCUUCCGACACAGAGGACACACACGAGACUCUCGUUCAACAAAGUCAGAAUAUUUUCGUAAAAUAGAGAUUAAAGUUGCAGGCGAAAGUAAAGUAACAGAUGAAAGUAACAGAUUAAAGUUGCAGAUGAAAUCUGCAGAUGAAAGUGACAGAUCCUGAAAGUAAAAAGGUGUGUACAUGUAUAUUUCUAUAUUUACUUUGACUAAUACUGUUGGGUUCCCUUUGCAAUUGAUGCGUGAAAAUUGUUUUACAGACCAGCCGACCUACAGAUACAAGUAGCGUUGGACAGGAGAGUGUGAGGCAAUUCGAAUUGUGAUUGCCCUUCGGAAAACAAUUAAAACCAAAGUAUUUGCAUCAAGUAUUUGUUAUUGAUUGCAUCUCUUAAAUUUCAGAUGUAAACCAUUACCCGAAGUUAUAGAUGGAUACAGUAAUUCUUUGUAUCAAUCGGAUGAAAAUCACAGCUUUGCAAUUACAGAUGUAGACAGAAGCUCUUCGCUACAGAUGAAGACAAAAGCUCUUCGUUACAGAUGAAUAACGUAGCUCUGCUGGGCUGAAGUCGCUUGCCCCUCGCCUUUGUGGGUUCCAAACCAUACUUAGAGUGUAGACUCUAAACCCAGUAAACAUCUUUACAGAUUAAAUCAUACCUCUUUGGUAUAAAUGAAAAUCAGAUGUUUUUUUUUCAGUUAAG
This is a long non-coding RNA of Mercenaria mercenaria, 1156 nucleotides long. RefSeq lists it as uncharacterized. The transcript has 4 exons. Lineage: Eukaryota; Metazoa; Mollusca; Bivalvia; Venerida; Veneridae. The record is from RefSeq and is a predicted model, not a curated record.